Molecule: ribosomal RNA, 277 nt
Filed under: uncultured bacterium
Lineage: Bacteria
Description: partial 16S ribosomal RNA
Rfam family: Bacterial small subunit ribosomal RNA
Source: RNAcentral
AGCGAACGCUGGCGGCAGGCUUAACACAUGCAAGUCGAACGGACCCUUCGGGGUUAGUGGCGGACGGGUGAGUAACACGUGGGAACGUGCCUUUUGGUUCGGAACAACUCAGGGAAACUUGAGCUAAUACCGGAUGUGCCCUUCGGGGGAAAGAUUUAUCGCCAUUAGAGCGGCCCGCGUCUGAUUAGCUAGUUGGUGGGGUAAAGGCCUACCAAGGCGACGAUCAGUAGCUGGUCUGAGAGGAUGACCAGCCACAUUGGGACUGAGACACGGCCCA